GAUGAAGAACGUAGCGAAAUGCGAUAAGUAAUGUGAAUUGCAGAAUUCAGUGAAUCAUCGAAUCUUUGAACGCACCUUGCACCCUUUGGCAUUCCGAAGGGUAUGCUCGUUUGAGUGUCAUUGUACUCUCACUCUCCCGAUCUUUGGAUCGGGAGUGGUGGACUUGGGUGUUGCUGCUUUACCGUGGCUCACCUCAAAUGGAUUCGUGCAACUCCUGGUUGGACAUAGUACGGCGUGAUAAGUGUCUUCGCCGGCACCUCACUAGAGGGUGGUUGACCGGGAGCUCUGUGCUUCAAACCGUCUUCGGACAACAACUGACAACUUGACCUCAAAUCGAGUAGGACCACCCGCUGAACUUAAGCAUAUCAAUAAGCGGAGGA
This 380-nucleotide unclassified non-coding RNA is filed under the name soil metagenome. RNAcentral describes it as "partial contains 5.8S ribosomal RNA, internal transcribed spacer 2, and large subunit ribosomal RNA". The stretch from base 1 to 120 matches the Rfam family "5.8S ribosomal RNA", at positions 35 to 154 of the family's 154-position model. The record is from RNAcentral.